GGGAGCGGUGGCGGGGCUCGGUGGUGGCAGGGGGCUGGGGGCCGUGGCGGCGGGAACGGGCGGUGGCGGCAGACCCGCAGCCCGCCGGCCGGUCUCCCGAGGCCGCUCUGGACGCCGCCGGCGGUCGUAAGCAAGCUUUCCAGAGGCGGCAGGGCCGGCCCGGCCCGAGGCGCUGGAAAGGUACGGGCGCUGCCCCCGCCCGUCCACGGGAGGAGCUCCGCGCCGCGCCGCCCCCGCAGGGCUGGGAAGCGGACGCAGGGGCCGCGGGUCCGCCGUCCCUCCCGUCGCCGAAGCGGCGCUAAAAGGGGGCGGUGGGGGCGCGGCGGGGCCGGAGGAGCGAUCGGUCUCGCACCGAGCCGCUGUGGCCCGGCAGCGCGGGGAGCCCGUCCCGGCUCCGCGCCGCCGCUGCGCGGGCGGCGAGCGACGUGCACUUUGCAGACGGUCCCUGCGCCGCUCUCUGCAGCGCCGCGCAGGCGCCCGGCGCUGGGACGGCGGCCGCGGUGCGAGCGGGAGAGCGGCCGCGGCGGGGAGGAGCAUGGACGGGACGGUGAGCCUUGCCCCGGGUCCUGCCGCCCCCCGCCCCGGGCUUCCGCCCGCUCGGCCCUGCGGCGGCACUUGCCGUGGCUCUGCCCCGGGCACCUGCGGGAGCUCUGGCAGCGGGACGGCCCCGCCCGGGCACUGCCCCCCGUCGGUGGCAGCCCCAGGCACUGGCGCUGCCCCCCGCCCCGGCGCUGCCUGCGGGGUACGCCCGGCCGGGAGACGGGCAGAGUCCGGGCGACGGGCCCCGCGCCGCCGAUGUGCCGCCCGGCGGUGGCCCCCUCCUGCGGCGGUAGGCUCCCGCCGCUCGGCUCCCCGCGGAGCCGGAGGCUCGAACACCCCGACGGCUGGCGCGCCGCUCUCCCUGUUCUUCCCGUCGGACUCGACGUCCGCAGUUGCAGCCGCCCGGCCCCCACCGGGUGUCCCCCUGCGCCCCCGCAUCCGCCGAGCUGUGGUAGCUUUUGCGUCGCAGGGACCCAGCUGGCUUGGAGAAGCAGGCAGAGCGGGGAAGUGCAGUACUCCUUUACCACUCCCCAAAGUGGGCUGCAGGCCUGCUCGGGGCUGAAUAUCCCGAGGGAGGCACCAGCACUCAUCUGGAAUCACCCAGCCUGCCCUGGUAUGGUCCUCUGGAGAGGAGGGUCCUCUUCUUAA
This 1188-nucleotide long non-coding RNA is filed under the name Calidris pygmaea (Spoon-billed sandpiper). RNAcentral describes it as "lncRNA (ENSCPGG00000015158.1)". The record is from RNAcentral. Lineage: Eukaryota; Metazoa; Chordata; Aves; Charadriiformes; Scolopacidae.